Molecule: ribosomal RNA, 408 nt
Filed under: uncultured Chitinophagaceae bacterium
Lineage: Bacteria; Pseudomonadati; Bacteroidota; Chitinophagia; Chitinophagales; Chitinophagaceae
Description: bacterial SSU rRNA
Rfam family: Bacterial small subunit ribosomal RNA
Source: RNAcentral
UGUCAGCCGCCGCGGUAAUACGGAGGGUGCAAGCGUUAUCCGGAUUCACUGGGUUUAAAGGGUGCGUAGGCGGGCAGGUAAGUCAGUGGUGAAAUCCUAGAGCUUAACUCUAGAACUGCCAUUGAUACUAUCUGUCUUGAAUAUUGUGGAGGUAAGCGGAAUAUGUCAUGUAGCGGUGAAAUGCUUAGAUAUGACAUAGAACACCUAUUGCGAAGGCAGCUUACUACGCAUAUAUUGACGCUGAGGCACGAAAGCGUGGGGAUCAAACAGGAUUAGAUACCCUGGUAGUCCACGCCCUAAACGAUGAUUACUCGACAUUUGUGAUACACUAUAAGUGUCUGAGCGAAAGCAUUAAGUAAUCCACCUGGGAAGUACGACCGCAAGGUUGAAACUUAAAUGAAUUGGCGG